Molecule: unclassified non-coding RNA, 1419 nt
Filed under: uncultured Neocallimastigales
Lineage: Eukaryota; Fungi; Neocallimastigomycota; Neocallimastigomycetes; Neocallimastigales
Description: partial contains small subunit ribosomal RNA, internal transcribed spacer 1, 5.8S ribosomal RNA, internal transcribed spacer 2, and large subunit ribosomal RNA
Rfam family: Eukaryotic large subunit ribosomal RNA (bases 662-1419)
Source: RNAcentral
UUUCCGUAGGUGAACCUGCGGAAGGAUCAUUAAAAAAUUGGACUCCAUUGGUGAGUUCAUUAAUAAUCCCUACCCUUUGUGAAUUUGUUUGUUUGAAUAAUUUUUUUUCCAAAAAAAAUUAUUGAAUGUCUUUCCUUGUUUUGGUGGAGCUUGUAAAGUGAAACCAGGCAGGGGAAUGGCAAACAAUAAUUAUUUUUGAAAAAGACCUUUUUUUAAAAUUAAACUUUUUGUAUUCAUUUGUCUAAAAUUAAUUUUUAUAAUAUAAAAACAACUUUUGACAAUGGAUCUCUUGGUUCUCGCAACGAUGAAGAACGCAGCAAAAUGCGAUAAGUAGUGUGAAUUGCAGAAUACGUGAAUCAUCGAAUCUUCGAACGCAUAUUGCACUUUUUUAGUUUACUAAAAAAGUAUGUCUGUUUGAGUAUCAGUAAAAUAUUCUCAUAAAAAACAUUGUUUUUUUUAUGGUUAUGAGUGUUUUACAACGAUAACAAGUUGUUUCACUUUAAAUUCUUUGUUAUCAAAAAAAUCAUUAAAAGCUAAUUUUAAAGAUUUUUUAAAAUUGGAUAAAAUUUUCCCAUAAAAAGGAAUAACCUAAACAAUUUUAAAAAAUUAAAAUUGGUUUGAUUCCUUUUGAAACCCAAAGGAAAAAAAAACGAAAUUAACUUGAUCUCAAAUCAGAUAAGAGUACCCGCUGAACUUAAGCAUAUCAAUAAGCGGAGGAAAAGAAACUAACUAGGAUUCCCUCAGUAACGGCGAGUGAAGCGGGAAGAGCUCAAAUUUGAAAUCUUCAAGGUUUUACCUUGACGAAUUGUAGUUUAAAGAAGUGUUUUCUGUUGGAGUUUUGGUAAAAGUUCUUUGGAAAAGGACAUCAUAGAGGGUGAGAAUCCCGUAUUUGACCAUUAUCUCCAGCUUUGUGAUACACUUUCAAAGAGUCGGAUUGUUUGGGAAUGCAGUCCAAAAUGGGUGGUAAAUUUCAUCUAAAGCUAAAUACUGGCGAGAGACCGAUAGCGAACAAGUACCGUGAGGGAAAGAUGAAAAGAACUUUGAAAAGAGAGUUAAACAGUACGUGAAAUUGUCAAAAGGGAAGCGUUUGACACCAGUGUUGUUUUCUCGAAAAUCAAUUAAAAAAGGCCGGAUUUUGUGUUGUAUUGACUUUAUCAGCUUUCUGCACUCUUUUCUUGUCUUUUUUAAUGCACUUUUCGUUUAACAAGUCAACAUCAAUUUCUUUUGUUGUAAAAGGGUCAUUGGAAGGUGGCUUUCUUUUCGGAGAAAGUGUUUAUAGCCUUUGGCCUCUGCAAUCGGAGAGAUUGAGGUCUGCAGCGUAGAUCCUUCGGGGUUAGAUACAUUUGUGCUAAGUUAUAGCCUUUCAUAGACAACUUGUUGACUAUGAUCAGUCAUGUAGCUUACUCGCUUAUGCUAUUU